This 253-nucleotide ribosomal RNA is filed under the name uncultured bacterium. Its description in RNAcentral is "partial 16S ribosomal RNA". It matches the Rfam family "Bacterial small subunit ribosomal RNA", at positions 524 to 776 of the family's 1533-position model. The record is from RNAcentral.
UACAGAGGCCCCAAGCGUUGUUCGGAUUCAUUGGGCGUAAAGGGUGCGUAGGUGGCGUUGUUAGUCGAAUGUGAAAUCCCGGAGCUCAACUCCGGAACUGCAUUCGAUACUGCAGCGCUCGAGGAUUGUAGGGGAGAGUGGAAUUCACGGUGUAGCAGUGAAAUGCGUAGAUAUCGUGAGGAAGACCAGUGGCGAAGGCGACUCUCUGGGCAACUCCUGACACUGAGGCACGAAGGCUAGGGUAGCGAACGGG